RNAcentral lists this ribosomal RNA (452 nucleotides) under uncultured bacterium. Its description in RNAcentral is "bacterial SSU rRNA". It matches the Rfam family "Bacterial small subunit ribosomal RNA", at positions 29 to 524 of the family's 1533-position model. The record is from RNAcentral.
AACGAACGCUGGCGGCAGGCUUAACACAUGCAAGUCGAACGCGUGUAGCAAUACACGAGUGGCGCACGGGUGAGUAACGCGUGGAUAUCUGCCUUUUGGUUCGGAAUAACUCCGGGAAACUGGAGCUAAUACCGGAUGGUUCCUACGGGAUAAAGAUUUAUCGCCAAAAGAUGAGUCCGCGUACGAUUAGCUAGUUGGUGAGGUAAUGGCUCACCAAGGCGACGAUCGUUAGCUGGUCUGAGAGGACGAUCAGCCACACUGGGACUGAGACACGGCCCAGACUCCUACGGGAGGCAGCAGUGGGGAAUAUUGGACAAUGGGGGCAACCCUGAUCCAGCCAUGCCGCGUGAGUGAUGAAAGCCUUCGGGUUGUAAAGCUCUUUUGGCGGGGACGAUGAUGACGGUACCCGCAGAAUAAGCCCCGGCUAACUUCGUGCCAGCAGCCGCGGUAAU